UGCAGGGUAGUGAAGUGGUCAUCACCCUAGGCUCAUACCCUAGAGAUCGGUUGUUCGAAUCAACCCCCUGCUCCCG
This 76-nucleotide transfer RNA is filed under the name Synechococcus phage S-CBWM1. RNAcentral's name for it is "tRNA-Met". It matches the Rfam family "tRNA". From Rfam's summary of the family: Transfer RNA (tRNA) molecules are approximately 80 nucleotides in length. Their secondary structure includes four short double-helical elements and three loops (D, anti-codon, and T loops). The record is from RNAcentral. Lineage: Duplodnaviria; Heunggongvirae; Uroviricota; Caudoviricetes.